AAUUAAGGUUUUUUUAAUUAGUGAGGAAAACCUCUGUUAAUUCCACCUGGAUGUGGAAUCAUAGUGUCGGUAGGAAGGAUUCUUUCCUUUGCAGGGUGAGCUGUCUACACAGCAGAGUUCUUGCUGUGUGAGUGAGCAGGCUGAAGCCUGAGAUCCAAUGCUGUGGGACAAGAAGUUCUUUCAUUCAUUGAAUGAAUGCCAUCUUGGGUGCCAAAUAGAACCUUUUCUGUCCCUGUAGUGCUUGUUCUGCAUGUCUAUCUGUCUGCUGUAUCUUUUCUGACCCUUAUUUUUGACCUCAGACUGUUUACUUGAAGGAAAAUAAUUUGUGCCCUUCUGUUUUGCUCAGCAAAGGGUAACACUGGAUUUGCUUUGGUUGUAGAAUAGUAUUUUCAAUCUGCUGGGGUAAGUUAUGAGCAAUUCUGUUUUAACUUCAAAAUCAAUUUUGGGGAGAUCUAGCUCUUUUCAAGAGCUCCUCUACCAUUCCUUCAUGGCCUCAAGUAUGAGGUUGUAUCAGUCUCCUUUUCAGGACUGUGGAGAAGAUGGACCAAACAACAUACUGGAAUUUGAGGCACCUUCUCUCUCUUUUUAUUUAUGGAUGGAUUAUCACCUGCAGUAACUAUGGAACAGUUCUGUAGCUGCUCUGCAAAUUACAGGAAGACAUUUUUCUUUCCCCAGGCCAGCUAGCAUUUAUCCUUGCAUCAAAGCUCAUCUUCAAAACUGUAUUAGUGCAGAGUUUGUUGAAACAUUAAUUUUAUCCUCUUUGCUUGGUUUAUACCUCAGCAGAGGUGUGAUGUCUGUGUUUUACUCCCAGCAGUAACCACGAGCGAAGCAAAUUAGUUAAUUUUGACUUAUCCACAGGUAUUAAAAACAAUGUUUAUUCCUUCCUCUAAGUUUCCUGUAUGUUUUUUAAAUUCAGUGUAAUAGACUCUCCCUUCAGCCAUUAAUCAGCUACUGUAAAGCUUAAGAAUGUCACUAGUUAAAAAAAAAAGCAAUGCGUGUUCUUUCCUUACUGCAAUCUGCAAAUCCAUUGUUAGAGCACAUUUCCUUAACAACAGAAAUCUUGGUCUGGCUUUGAAACAGCAGUUCUUUGCGGCGGUGACUAGCCUCCUACCUUGAUCAGUGUGGUUCAGACUAGGAAGCCUUAUCCUUACUGAACAGAAACUGUUGUAGAUGUGGCUCAGCAUUGUUGGGAGAAGGACACAAGCAAGUGCAUGCAAAACUCACUCUUUUUGCUAUAAGCACCAAGUACAAUGUACAUACUUGCCCUGUUUAGAGCUGACUUGAGAUCAAUAGUUUAGUCCUAACAGGUUGAUGAACAGCUGGCAAGUAAGUCCUGCAGCUCGGCAACAACUGCAGUUUAGAUCCUGAUGGAUGACUUAAUAAAUUUAAUGUAAUUUUUGUUUUGUUGUUUGCUUGUUCCUUUUAAUUCUGUGUCCAGUAUGUAACAACUUCAAUGAAUAGGCAUGAACCAUACCUUGGAUCUUGUUGGAGUUGUGCUGGAUGGGACUUGCACUGCAGAUGUUUACUGCAGCCCUAUGGUGUGUCAGGGCUGGUGGUGUCCUGUCCAUCCUGUUCUGCUGCUGCUGUACUUGAGGAGGCCAAAGCCUGAGAUCCUGUCAAAGAAGAACUUAGUCUUGAACACAUUCUGAGGAAAGAAAGUGCAUCCAGAAGAACUGGAAAGAAGCGAUAAGUAGCUGACAAGUUGAUGUGUAGCUCCUUAGAAGAACCAAGGUAUUAAAACAGAAAACCCAGCAAAAGUGAGAAAAAUGAAUCAGUAUCUUGAUAGUUCUCAGACUGGAGGCACUGAAGUCCUCUAUAAGCUGCUGAACACUGCUUCUCCUGCAGAUGCAAGUUGCUCUAGGGUGCUGCAAGCAUCCCUGUUUGCUCUUGGUGUAAUGAAGACCAUCACUCCUGUCCUACAAGGACAGUCUGUGGGUGGGUAAGGAUGAGGUUCAGCUGCUGAGAAGGAGGAGCACAACUUGUGAAGGCUCAUAAUGUAGAUGCUCACCACUUGAGUUCAUGAAAACACACAGCAAGGCUGCUCUGGGGUUUUGGAUUUAGCAGAAGCUUUGUACAGCAGAGGGAGCAGAUGGUAGGAGCUAAACUGCAAAUUCUGGUGUCAUUCUCCUCCUCUCAGAAUUAUAUUUAUACACAUGCAGGUAUCUCUUUGUCAGAUGUCAGGAACUGGCAGUUUCUGAUUCAUGGCAAUUGUUGUACCUCCCUCAUGAUCUCUCUUUCUCAAUUAUCAAAUGGAACUGCAAGAUCAGGUGAAAAUAGCAACAUCUGUGCAACACCCUGAGUUCUUAGUACCCACACAAGUGUAGAUAGAAAGAAAGGUGAAAACCCGAACCCUGCUGCGGGUUAAUGUAUCACACGACUUUUAUUUAGUAUUAACAUUGUAGAACUAUAGUGCUGUAGUACUACAAAAAUGAAACUUCUUGUUCUCAAACCUGUUUCUUCCAUUCUGUGUUGUUUUAUGGCUGUUUCAUUAUCUUGAACACGUGUUUUUUUUUCUCUUACUGUUUUUCCCCAUGUGAUGGUCUGGGUGUUACCCCCACACACACACUUUAGAAAUCACCCAGGCUAGACUCAGCCAGCUCUGGAAAGUGAAUGAAGCUUAUUUUUACAGCUAGCACAAUAUACAAGCAGAUAUUUACAGCAUAUACAGUUAUAGACAGAAAUAGACAAGGUAAAAGGUAAUACAGAAACACAACAGCCCUCCCAGAAACCUGAGUCCCCAGGAGGGGCUCCCAAGUGCCCUUCCACCUUCUCCCACCCCUGUCUGCCUUGCCCCAGAUGUUGCCUUGUGCCCAAGGAAGAAUGGAGGGUCGCCCAGGGGGGGUUAGGAAGCAGGUGGAUUAAUCAGGUUAGGUUAGAGAGAGAAAAGUGCAGCCCACAGCCCAGACAGAGUGACUACCUUAUCUAUGUUUGGAUUCUUGUUCUUAUACCUCUCAGCAAGCCUAUGAGUGAAGUAGACAUCACCACUCUUUCACAGCUUGUAAUCUAAUUCUUCUCACCAAAACAUUCUAGCUAGCUUCAAACUAGCACACCCCAGCAGUUGAAAUAGUUUCUCUUGCUCCAUCAGCUGUGCACUGCCUGAAUGACUUAUGACACCUUGAAGAAACAAGGUCUGGAGUUGUCUUUGUCUCCUCUUUACUUUUGGAAAAAAACUUGCUCAGUAAAAGGCAAGAAAAUAAGACAGGCUGCAAGCUGGAGACACAGCACAGGAUAUCUGCUGUGCAUGCCUCAACCUUGGGAAACUUUAGUUUGGAGCUCUGUCAAGGAUGAGGCACAUGCCAGUAGGAAACUUGCCUUUAUUAUUUCCCAGGCUUAGAGAGCUACUUGUUUCCUAUUUAACUCAAAUAACUGUGCAGAUUUGGAGACAAAUGUGGUAACAACAAGAACAAAAAUGUCUGUAGCUGUUCCAAGAAUUCUCUGUACUUGUUUCCUGUAUUUAUUUAAAAUUUAAUACUUAUAUGGCAAGAGUCAUGCUUGAUAAAAUGGGGAAACUCAGGGUUUCUUUCUUUUACACUUUGCAAUGCCACAUGGAGAUGUGAGCAUUUAGGACAUCCUUAUCUGCACCAUUAUGAUACACAAAUGCCCUUGACUAUCUCUGUGUGUAGGGACUCCUAUCCAUCCCUAUAUAUCUGAUGAGGUUUUGACUGGUUGUUAAGAUGCAGCUGUUGAAGUUGUCGUACUGAAUCAUUUUAAAAGCCUCUGAGGAGCACACAAGGGUGCUGUGAUAUUGCCAGUGCCUCAUGCCCUGCUUUUGUCACUCAUGCUAUACCGUGGCUCUCAGCCACCAGGGUCAGGAAUCAGCCAUCCCUGGGGUCCACUUGCAGGUGUCAUGCUCAGGGAACAGCAAAGACUGAACACUCUGAGAUAUAUUUUUAGGGAGGUUUGUCCUUGAAUCACAACACCACUUAAUUUGGAAAAGACCCAUAAGAUUAUUGAGUGCAACAAUUAAGCUAACACUGCCAAGUCCACCACCAAACCACAUCCCUAAACACCACUUCUAUGCAUCUUUUAAAUACCUUCAGAGAUAAUGACUCAAUCAGUUCCCUGGGCAGACUGUUGUAAUGCUUUACAACCCAACAGGUGAAUAAGUGUUUCCUAACAUCCAAUCUAAACCACCUCAGGCACAACUUGAGGCCCUUUUGCUCUCACCCUAUCACUUGUUACUUGGGAGAGGAGACCAGCACCCACCUCCCUACAGUCUCCUUUCAAAUAGCUGUAAAAAGCAAUAAUGCCUCCCCUGAGCCUUCUGUUGUCCAGGCUAAACAAUUCCUGUUUCUUCAGCUGCUCCUCAUAAGACUCUUUACAAGCUUUGCAGCUUUUGUGUUGACAUACUCCAGCACCUUUCUUUCCUAUGGUGAGUGACCCAAAACAGAACACAACGUUUGUUUUAAGUGUGGUCUCAACAGUGAUAAGUACAGAGGCACAAUUACUUCCCUAUUUCUCUGGCCACACUAUUUCUGGUACAAGAUAUGAUUCUGUUGGCCUUCUCAGCCACCUGCUGGCUCAUGUUCAGCCAGCUGUCAACCCCCAGGUCCUUUUCUGCCAGGCAACCUUUCAACCACUCUGCCCCAAGCCUGUAGCACUGCAUGGGGUUGUUGCAACCCAAGUGCAGGACCCAGCUCUUGGCCCUGCUGAACCUCAUGCAGCUUGCCUCAGCUUAUCCAUCCAGCCUGUCCAGGUUCCUCUGCAGAGCCUUUCUGCACUAUCAAGCAGAUCAACACUUCUGCCUAGCUUGUCCCAGACUUACUGAGACUGCCCUCAAUCCUGCUGUCCAGGUCACUGAUAAAAAUUCUGACCAGAAUAGUGAGCCCUGGAAAACACCACUUGUGACUGGCCACCAAUAGAUUUAACUCCAUUCAUCACAGCUCUUUGUUUGGCCAGCCAAUUCUCUUUGAAAUACCUCUUCCUGAACUGUUUUGUUGGCUCAGAUUUGCAAGUAUCUCUGCUUCUCCCUCUGCUGUUAAUGACUGUCACUACUAAGUUCAGAGCAUGGCACUUUCAAAAGCACAGCUUAAUUAUUCUCACAUACCAGUCUGGUCAUUCCCUUAUCAAGCCAUAAAAGUAGAUGAUACAAAAUCAUUACAGCAAGACCUUAAAAAUUACUGACAAGUAAUAUGGCUAAAUUUUAAUUACUUCAUGUGAUGAGUGUUUAGGUAAAAUUCUGCCCUUAGCUUCAAAUGCCCUCAGAUUCUCAUUAGCUAAAACCCCACUCAUUAGGAAGAGCACAUUCCUGGGACAAACACAUCAGCUGUUGUAAAUUGUUCCACCAAAGUUUUCUGCCGUUCACUGAUUUUCUCGAGGUAAGUUCCCUGUUAUUUGUUCAAUAUUCAAUAGACAAAGUUUUCAGUUCUGCUUAUUGUCUACCACUUAGGAAAGCUUUCUGUGUUCUUUUCUAUAGCAUGUCCAUUAUGGAGUCUCUCCCUAUGUUUUAUUUUUCCCUGUCAAAUAGCUGUUUGAUACUUUACACUGUACUGUGUAACAGCAAUUUUAAGCUAGAAAACUGAUCGUCAAAUUACGUCUGUGAAUAAAAGUCACAUUUGAAAAACCAAAAUGCUUUGAUUUUAAGGGCAUUUCAGAAACUGAUCAAUUUAAUGCUUAAAUGCACUGGGCUGUCUAUGCAACACUACAUACUAAUCAUAUGUUGGUUGUAUAUUUAAUCCCAUGUGAAACCAACAAAAAAAAACCCCUGCAACAAAGCAAAACGUGAAAACCCCAAAAAACUUCUUGCACUAGAAGCAAAGCAUUCAAGGUAAUUGUUUGUAGGUACUACACCUACAAACAAUGUGAGCCAAAAUAAUCUCAAAAGGAGCCCAAAGGAAGAUGCACUUUGUUUUUUUAGCAGUGAGUUCUGUUUAUAAAUGAUUGCAGUUAAUAUGUUGUGCUAUGAUUGCUGUUAAUAUAUUGUGCUGGGUAUUUGUAGACCUAGAGGCAUUUUUGUAUAUCUGAGACAAUGUGGAUAGCAGACAUGCAAAUAAAGCCUGAAGUUAAUUUCA
This is a long non-coding RNA of Pogoniulus pusillus (Red-fronted tinkerbird), 6011 nucleotides long. RefSeq lists it as uncharacterized. The transcript is spliced from 5 exons. NCBI's taxonomy places the organism in Eukaryota, Metazoa, Chordata, Aves, Piciformes, Lybiidae. The record is from RefSeq and is a predicted model, not a curated record.